UACGGAGGGUGCAAGCGUUAAUCGGAGUUACUGGGCGUAAAGCGCACGCAGGCGGUUUGUUAAGUCGGAUGUGAAAUCCCCGGGCUCAACUUGGGAACUGCAUUUGAAACUGGAAGGCUAGAGUCUUGUAGAGGGGGGUAGAAUUCCAGGUGUAGCGGUGAAAUGCGUAGAGAUCUGGAGGAAUACCGGUGGCGAAGGCGGCCCACUGGACAAAGACUGACGCUCAGGUGCGAAAGCGUGGGGAGCAAACAGG
This 253-nucleotide unclassified non-coding RNA is filed under the name uncultured Enterobacteriaceae bacterium. Its description in RNAcentral is "contains 16S-23S intergenic spacer region". It matches the Rfam family "Bacterial small subunit ribosomal RNA", at positions 524 to 776 of the family's 1533-position model. The record is from RNAcentral. Lineage: Bacteria; Pseudomonadati; Pseudomonadota; Gammaproteobacteria; Enterobacterales; Enterobacteriaceae.